GUAAGGAGUUUUCGGCAAUGGGGGGAACCCUGACCGAGCAACGCCGCGUGAGUGAUGACGGCCCUAUGGGUUGUAAAGCUCUGUUAUAAGGGACGAACAGCUUUGCUAGGAAAUGAGCAGAGUCUGACGGUACUUUAUCAGAAAGCCACGGCUAACUACGUGCCAGCAGCCGCGGUAAUACGUAGGUGGCAAGCGUUAUCCGGAAUUAUUGGGCGUAAAGAGUGAGCAGGCGGCAGAUUAAGUUUGAGGUUAAAGCGUGGGGCUCAACCCCAUAAAGCCUUGAAAACUGAUCAGCUAGAGUACGAGAGAUGUGAAGGGAACUCCAUGUGUAGCGGUGAAAUGCGUAGAUAUAUGGAAGAACACCAGUGGCGAAGGCGCUUCACAAGCUCGAAACUGACGCUCAGUCACGAAAGCGUGGGUAGCAAAUAGGAUUAGAAACCCCUGUAGUCC
This 450-nucleotide ribosomal RNA is filed under the name uncultured bacterium. RNAcentral's name for it is "partial 16S ribosomal RNA". It matches the Rfam family "Bacterial small subunit ribosomal RNA", at positions 354 to 796 of the family's 1533-position model. The record is from RNAcentral.